This 267-nucleotide ribosomal RNA is filed under the name uncultured Pseudomonadales bacterium. Its description in RNAcentral is "partial 16S ribosomal RNA". It matches the Rfam family "Bacterial small subunit ribosomal RNA", at positions 502 to 768 of the family's 1533-position model. Lineage: Bacteria; Pseudomonadati; Pseudomonadota; Gammaproteobacteria; Pseudomonadales. The record is from RNAcentral.
CUUGUGCCAGCCGCCGCGGUAAUACAGAGGGUGCAAGCGUUAAUCGGAAUUACUGGGCGUAAAGCGCGCGUAGGUGGUUCGUUAAGUUGGAUGUGAAAUCCCCGGGCUCAACCUGGGAACUGCAUUCAAAACUGACGAGCUAGAGUAUGGUAGAGGGUGGUGGAAUUUCCUGUGUAGCGGUGAAAUGCGUAGAUAUAGGAAGGAACACCAGUGGCGAAGGCGACCACCUGGACUGAUACUGACACUGAGGUGCGAAAGCGUGGGGAG